CGAAAACAGCCACAAUGUAUGUGCUGGACUCGAUGCUACAAUCUGGUAAAGAAUCAAAGAAGAAAAAAAAGAAUAUAAAGAAAGCGAAGGAAGCGAUGUUGCCGAAAGAGAAUGAAAAAAUGGCAUAUUUUAUGAAAAGCAGGUUUGUAGAAAUAUUAAUGAAACUGAAACCUGAACUUGUUGAUGACAAUUAUGACCUUAAGUUGAAAGUGGUGCUUAUGGAAUAGCAACCGACGACAUCUGAUUGUGGAAUGUAUGUCAUCUUUUGCCUUAGACAGUGGAAUAAUACUGCACGAGAGGAAUGGGGCGGCCUUACUAUGCCUCCUCUAACAAUGGAAUAAUUGAGUGAAAUGAGGAGUCAGGUAUUGUAUUGGUUUAUGACUCAUCCACAUAACAGAGUGGGCUCUCAAGUCAUGACGUCCAUUUCGAAUACUGGGCAUGACGAUCUAAAAGAUUGAAAUCAUAGUGUAGACAUUUGUGAUAUGUAAAUUAAACCUUUAUGUAAUUAAGUUUUUUUU
Long non-coding RNA from Prosopis cineraria, 518 nucleotides. RefSeq lists it as uncharacterized. The transcript has 4 exons. The record is from RefSeq and is a predicted model, not a curated record. NCBI's taxonomy places the organism in Eukaryota, Viridiplantae, Streptophyta, Magnoliopsida, Fabales, Fabaceae.